This 200-nucleotide unclassified non-coding RNA is filed under the name soil metagenome. RNAcentral describes it as "partial contains internal transcribed spacer 2 and large subunit ribosomal RNA". The record is from RNAcentral.
AUCACUAAUCAAGCCUGGCUUGCGGUUGGACUUCUUGUCGGUAAAAGACAGGUCCAAAAGAUAAUGACGGUGUUAAUUGGCCCCUAGAUGCAACGAGCUUUUAUUAGCACGCAUCUCAGUUGGACUUUUUAACCCGGUCUUAUAUAACCAUUUCUCUAAAGGUUGACCUCGGAUCAGGUAGGAAUACCCGCUGAACUUAA